Molecule: long non-coding RNA, 991 nt
Organism: Micropterus dolomieu (smallmouth bass)
Lineage: Eukaryota; Metazoa; Chordata; Actinopteri; Centrarchiformes; Centrarchidae
Exons: 3
Source: RefSeq, a predicted model, not a curated record
GUUUCCUAUUCAGAGUGUAAUAACCCUAUCUUCACAUCCAGCCAAAGGAGCUGUCACUGGGAUGAAACACUGCCUGCCACGGGACGUCAAGGAAAUUGUGAUAUGGAUUUUGCCGAUACGGUCGGUUGUUGUCCUUUGCUGCUAAACUGUGCUGAACGAGCUAUUUGAUGCAACUAAAGAGCUGCAUGGCCUCCUCUGACAAGCAGAUGAGUGUCUCCCAGUGAGAUUGUGUGUGUUGUGACAUUUCAGCAAUGCUUGACAUGAGAAGGAUGAUUGCAGACUGGAAAACGCAGAGCAAGCACGGAGGCAGGAACUCACUGACGUGCUGCCACACGUCCAUCUUUGGGCUGAUAAAACCCACAUCCACGGGCCGUCUGGAGAAGAAAGGGAUUUUGCUCACGUGAUGUCAAGGAUUAAACUCAGUGGGAUCAGCUGCGAAAAGACAGCCGCCCCAAAGGGCUUGCUCCAUUUAUGCUGUUCUACCCACACCCCACCCUCCACACCCACACACUUUAAAUUCCACUGUAUGGACCCCUUUGUCAAAUUUAUUCACCCUUGGAGUCCUUUCAACCAAAAAAAUGUCUUUCUCAGCCAGUGCUAUAGUAGCCACUACCUGGGCCUCAGGAAGAGAGAGCUGUCAAGACUGGGACUGUUUAGAAGAAAUACUCAAAGAAGACUCGCCUCCCUCCUCUUGGCACUUCAUCCAGCCUCCAGUACACCACCUUCAGCUCUGCUAUAACGCCAUUACACAGCACAUUCCUCUGAAGCUCAGGAGAUGUGAAGCCUCAGGCCGGAACUGAGGGAACGUAUAAACCUGAGGAAGCUGUGGUAUCUUGCCUCAAGGACAGCUGGGAUAUGUAGGUAUGUGUGCUUGUGCGUGUUUGUGUGCGUGUGUGUGAAUUUGUGUGUGUUUGUAUGUGUAAUGGUACAUGUCUGCCAUCCCUCGUGUGUGUGCAUAUGAGAAACCACAAGGUUUGAAUUCACAGGCAAG